UUUUCCAUACAGAUAUCCCACAGACCCAGCACCAUUUAUUGAGAAGACAAUCUCUUUCCCCUGCACUUCAGUCAUUCCAUUAAAAAAAACUGACUAUCAUUUUGAAUGGCUGGAAUGAGGCUGUGAGGCUCCAGCAGCCGUUUUGUGCCACGAGGCAGUAGAAACCUGGGUUCCUGAUGACUGUGGAGCUGCCGAACUAAUCUGGACCUCCAGAUUCCAUACCUGCAAGACACAUGAACAUCUGUCUUAUGCCGUGGAAACAGAAAUCUAGUGGAGGAUUCUGAUCCCUAGGGAAUGUAGGGCCACUGGACCCAAUUGCCCUAUAAUCUUGUGUGGUAUUUCCCUGCCCCUGCUCAACUUCAUUGGAUGGUAAUGUUACAUUUGUUAAGCCACUAAGGUUUUGGGGGUUGUUUAUUAGGCAGUUGUCUAGCCUGAUAACACAAGCCUGAAAGAAGGGCAUUCUUAUCCCUAUUUUUCCCUGGGGGAAAUGGGCUCAGAGAUACUAAGUAACUUGCUAAAGUCACACAGCAAGUAAGUGGCAAAUCCAGAUUUGAGCUCAGGUUAUGUCUUUUCCACUAACCCAGGCUAACAGGAUGAUUGUUCCUGCUUAGGUAUUGCCUUGGUCUUUGUUUCUUGAGGAGUCACAGAAAGAAAGACACAGACCAGGACUGGGAGGUAGGGAAGGAGGGAGCAGCUGGGGGGCAGGUGUGUAGUGGUGCAUCAUAGCAGCAAAGGGAGGUAAAGGUUCUAGGAAGGGGUGGUCAAUUGUGUCUAAUGAGAUCCAGCCAGGUGGAGGAGGAAGAGGGCUGGGAAGAGCCCAUUAAAUUUAAUGACCUCAGUGACAGUUUUAUCUGAGUGAUGGGGCAGAUGCCAGCUUGCAGAAGGUUUGGGAACAAGUCAGUGAUUAUGUUGGUUAAGGGAAGGAGAGAGGAAAAAAAGAGAGAUAGCUUUAAGUGGAAGCCAGGCCAAAGGAAAGCAUUUUGAGAAGGAAAUCAGUGGUUAGGGAGAGGUUAAAAAUAAGAAAGGGAAUCAUGACCUACAUAAUGCAAGGCAUCUGAAUGUGAUGAUUUCCUCCUUUAGGCUUGGUUCUGGUGUGCAUUUCCAGGGCUAAGCUGACUGGCCAGGAAGCAGGGAGCAAAGGGGGUUGGACACAGCCAGCAAAUCACGCAGCAUUAACUGGGCUGCGAGGCCGGAUCCUGAGUGGGCAAGCAGGUGGCAGCUGAAGUAUUGUGAAUCGAGAGCCUGAAAUUCUUCAGGAUCUUCUAAGAUUAUCCAUUUGAUUGGGUCAUGGAAUUAAUGUGGAUAAGCCUAGUUGAUCAACCUGAGUAGAGGGUGCUGUCACCUGCACAACACCUACCACAACUUCCUAGAACCUAGUGGCCGAGCUUGUUAAGUGUCCCCAAAUGCCCAUUCUCUCCUUCCUUUUAGUCAAGGAGCCAUGAAUUUUAGGGAAGAACAUGAUCAUUUAGCUCAGGACCACAGUUCCCAGACUCCCUGCAGCUGGAUGUGGAUGUCUACUCAGUUCUUGCUAAAACGAUGUGUGCAAUUUCCAGAGCACAUCCUUAUAUGGAAGUUAUUUGCAGUGAACAUUGUCUGUUUCCUCCUUUCAAUGAGGUGGAACUGGAAGUGCUGGAGAUGAGCUGCUGUGGCUGUAUGGACAAAGGCAAGAUCCUAUGGGAUGGCCAAGCAACCAGACAGAAGAACUCUUGAGACCUUGAGGAAAAGAACUGCCCGCAACUGCUCUUGACACUCUCUCCCUCUGGCCUGUUGUGUGGGAGAGAAAUAAA
Molecule: long non-coding RNA, 1787 nt
Filed under: Homo sapiens (human)
Lineage: Eukaryota; Metazoa; Chordata; Mammalia; Primates; Hominidae
Description: HSALNT0291342
Source: RNAcentral